UUAAGUCCCGCAACGAGCGCAACCCCUACGUUUAGUUGCUAACGCGUGAAGGCGAGCACUCUAGACGAACUGCCGUUGGACAAAACGGAGGAAGGUGGGGAUGACGUCAAAUCAUCAUGCCCCUUAUGUUCUGGGCUACACACGUGCUACAAUGGCCGGUACAGACGGACGCAAAGCCGCGAGGUGGAGCAAAUCCUAAAAAGCCGGUCUCAGUUCGGAUUGCAGGCUGCAAUUCGCCUGCAUGAAGCUGGAAUCGCUAGUAAUGGCAGAUCAGCAUGCUGCCGUGAAUACGUUCCCGGGCCUU
This 304-nucleotide ribosomal RNA is filed under the name uncultured Pelotomaculum sp. Its description in RNAcentral is "bacterial SSU rRNA". It matches the Rfam family "Bacterial small subunit ribosomal RNA", at positions 1080 to 1382 of the family's 1533-position model. Lineage: Bacteria; Bacillati; Bacillota; Clostridia; Eubacteriales; Desulfotomaculaceae. The record is from RNAcentral.